UGCAGUUUGUAAGCAGAAAGGACUCCACAAGCUCACUACCAAAAGCAAAAGCAACUUUGUAUUUUUGGUCCUCUGUCCUACCUGAGGUUAAACCCUGUCCUUCACCUUGCAUGAUGCAGAUGGCGUGUGUAGCUAAACAGAGCAAAGUACAGUGAAAAUGGAAAAGUGCACAGUUGCUGUGGAUACCCAUCCUCAUCAUUGCCCAGCACUUCUAGUUUAGUGGGAGGUGCCUGUUUUUGUUUUUAAAUAGUUGUUCUUUGGAGUGAGUGAGGGAAACUUCGCUGGGCUUAAGGGAGCACCUUCUCUCCUGAGGGUCCCCACUCAUGCAGCUGCUGCUGAGGCUGCUGCCGUUUGUGCAACAGGAACCCCAGCAGCUCUCACACCCCAGGCUCAUUGUUACCUGGAUAAGUCACAAACAAAGGUUUUGCAAGUUUUCCUUUUCCGAGUGUAAUUAUAAUGGAUACACUUAUUAUGGAAAUGGGAUUCGCAGUUUGGGGUUUAACGCAAAGAUUUGAUAAACGAAGGGACAAUUCCUCGGAUAACAUACUUUUACCAUGCUAUUUUUUAUAUUUUCAUGCCCUAUCACUUUCGGAUUAAACUUUUUUGCGAGAAUAUUUGGAUUUACAAAAUUGUUAUUUUUGGGGAGUUUUGAAGAACAUCAAUAACAAUUAAUGGAAUUAAUGAAAGACCAUAUCGUCACAUCUAUGAUACAAC
Pelobates fuscus (common spadefoot toad) is the source of this 714-nucleotide long non-coding RNA. RefSeq lists it as uncharacterized. NCBI's taxonomy places the organism in Eukaryota, Metazoa, Chordata, Amphibia, Anura, Pelobatidae. The transcript has 3 exons. The record is from RefSeq and is a predicted model, not a curated record.